AUUGAACGCUGGCGGCAUGCCUUACACAUGCAAGUCGAACGGCAGCACGGGUGCUUGCACCUGGUGGCGAGUGGCGAACGGGUGAGUAAUACAUCGGAACGUACCUUAUCGUGGGGGAUAACGCAGCGAAAGUUGCGCUAAUACCGCAUACGCCCUGAGGGGGAAAGCGGGGGACCGUAAGGCCUCGCGCGAUUAGAGCGGCCGAUGUCUGAUUAGCUUGUUGGUGAGGUAAAAGCUCACCAAGGCGAUGAUCAGUAGCUGGUCUGAGAGGACGAUCAGCCACACUGGGACUGAGACACGGCCCAGACUCCUACGGGAGGCAGCAGUGGGGAAUUUUGGACAAUGGGGGCAACCCUGAUCCAGCAAUGCCGCGUGAGUGAAGAAGGCCUUCGGGUUGUAAAGCUCUUUUGUCAGGGAAGAAACAGCAGCUCUAGCACAGCCUGCGAAUGACGGUACCUGAAGAAUGAGCACCGGCUAACUACGUGCCAGCCGCCGCCGUAA
Molecule: ribosomal RNA, 501 nt
Filed under: uncultured bacterium
Lineage: Bacteria
Description: partial 16S ribosomal RNA
Rfam family: Bacterial small subunit ribosomal RNA
Source: RNAcentral